This 510-nucleotide ribosomal RNA is filed under the name uncultured bacterium. Its description in RNAcentral is "partial 16S ribosomal RNA". It matches the Rfam family "Bacterial small subunit ribosomal RNA", at positions 28 to 507 of the family's 1533-position model. The record is from RNAcentral.
GACGAACGCUGGCGGCGUGCUUAACACAUGCAAGUCGAACGAAGAGCGACGGAAGCUUGCUUCUAUCAAUCUUAGUGGCGAACGGGUGAGUAACGCGUAAUCAACCUGCCCUUCAGAGGGGGACAACAGUUGGAAACGACUGCUAAUACCGCAUACGAUCUAACCUCGGCAUCGAGGAUAGAUGAAAGGUGGCCCCUACAUGUAAGCUAUCACUGAAGGAGGGGAUUGCGUCUGAUUAGCUAGUUGGAGGGGUAACGGCCCACCAAGGCGAUGAUCAGUAGCCGGUCUGAGAGGAUGAACGGCCACAUUGGGACUGAGACACGGCCCAGACUCCUACGGGAGGCAGCAGUGGGGAAUCUUCCGCAAUGGACGAAAGUCUGACGGAGCAACGCCGCGUGAGUGAUGACGGCCUUCGGGUUGUAAAGCUCUGUUAAUCGGGACGAAAGGCCUUCUUGCGAAUAGUGAGAAGGAUUGACGGUACCGGAAUAGAAAGCCACGGCUAACUACGUG